RNAcentral lists this ribosomal RNA (138 nucleotides) under uncultured eukaryote. RNAcentral describes it as "partial 18S ribosomal RNA". It matches the Rfam family "Eukaryotic small subunit ribosomal RNA", at positions 1299 to 1458 of the family's 1831-position model. The record is from RNAcentral.
CGGUGGAGUGAUUUGUCUGGUUGAUUCCGUUAACGAACGAGACCUUAGCCUGCUAACUAGUCGCGGCGAUCUCGAUCGUCGUCGACUUCUUAGAGGGACUUUGUGGCACUAAACACAAGGAAGUUUGAGGCAAUAACA